GGAAGUGACGUCAUUGCAGCCAUUUUGAAACCGUAAAUGGAGAUCUUUACUUUUCUUCUGAUUUUCUGUAGAGAGAAAGAGAUUCAGGUAAGUACCACGUGAUGACCCUUUGUCUUGCGAUAAUUCACUCACCUUUAGGCUCUUUGACUGCCUCCAACUCGCACGUGUGUGACAAUAUAUAUA
Erpetoichthys calabaricus (reedfish) is the source of this 183-nucleotide long non-coding RNA. RefSeq lists it as uncharacterized. Lineage: Eukaryota; Metazoa; Chordata; Cladistia; Polypteriformes; Polypteridae. The record is from RefSeq and is a predicted model, not a curated record. The transcript has 2 exons.